UACGUAUGGAGCAAGCGUUAUCCGGAAUUACUGGGUGUAAAGGGAGCGCAGGCGGGAAGCCAAGUCAGCUGUGAAAACUACGGGCUUAACUUGUAGACUGCAGUUGAAACUGGUUUUCUUGAGUGAAGUAGAGGUUGGCGGAAUUCCGAGUGUAGCGGUGAGAUGCGUAGAUAUUCGGAGGAACACCGGUGGCGAAGGCGGCCAACUGGGCUUUAACUGACGCUGAGGCUCGAAAGUGCGGGGAGCAAACAGG
RNAcentral lists this ribosomal RNA (253 nucleotides) under uncultured bacterium. Its description in RNAcentral is "partial 16S ribosomal RNA". It matches the Rfam family "Bacterial small subunit ribosomal RNA", at positions 524 to 776 of the family's 1533-position model. The record is from RNAcentral.